This 387-nucleotide ribosomal RNA is filed under the name uncultured Nitrosospira sp. RNAcentral describes it as "bacterial SSU rRNA". It matches the Rfam family "Bacterial small subunit ribosomal RNA", at positions 201 to 579 of the family's 1533-position model. Lineage: Bacteria; Pseudomonadati; Pseudomonadota; Betaproteobacteria; Nitrosomonadales; Nitrosomonadaceae. The record is from RNAcentral.
GGAUCGCAAGACCUUGCGCUUUUGGAGCGGCCGAUGUCUGAUUAGCUAGUUGGUGAGGUAAAGGCUCACCAAGGCGACGAUCAGUAGCUGGUCUGAGAGGACGACCAGCCACACUGGGACUGAGACACGGCCCAGACUCCUACGGGAGGCAGCAGUGGGGAAUUUUGGACAAUGGGGGCAACCCUGAUCCAGCCAUGCCGCGUGAGUGAAGAAGGCCUUCGGGUUGUAAAGCUCUUUCAGCCGGGAAGAAAUGGUUCUGACUAAUACUCGGUACUCAUGACGGUACCGGCAGAAGAAGCACCGGCUAACUACGUGCCAGCAGCCGCGGUAAUACGUAGGGUGCGAGCGUUAAUCGGAAUUACUGGGCGUAAAGGGUGCGCAGGCGUC